GAGUUUGAUCUUGGCUCAGGACGAACGCUGGCGGCGUGCCUAAUACAUGCAAGUCGAGCGAACUGAUUAGAAGCUUGCUUCUAUGACGUUAGCGGCGGACGGGUGAGUAACACGUGGGCAACCUGCCUGUAAGACUGGGAUAACUUCGGGAAACCGAAGCUAAUACCGGAUAGGAUCUUCUCCUUCAUGGGAGAUGAUUGAAAGAUGGUUUCGGCUAUCACUUACAGAUGGGCCCGCGGUGCAUUAGCUAGUUGGUGAGGUAACGGCUCACCAAGGCAACGAUGCAUAGCCGACCUGAGAGGGUGAUCGGCCACACUGGGACUGAGACACGGCCCAGACUCCUACGGGAGGCAGCAGUAGGGAAUCUUCCGCAAUGGACGAAAGUCUGACGGAGCAACGCCGCGUGAGCGAUGAAGGCCUU
RNAcentral lists this ribosomal RNA (421 nucleotides) under uncultured Bacillus sp. Its description in RNAcentral is "bacterial SSU rRNA". It matches the Rfam family "Bacterial small subunit ribosomal RNA", at positions 9 to 418 of the family's 1533-position model. The record is from RNAcentral. Lineage: Bacteria; Bacillati; Bacillota; Bacilli; Caryophanales; Bacillaceae.